UACGUAGGGGGCUAGCGUUGUCCGGAAUCAUUGGGCGUAAAGAGCGUGUAGGCGGUCCGGUAAGUCCGCUGUGAAAGUCGGGGGCUCAACCCUCGAAUGCCGGUGGAUACUGUCGGGCUAGAGUGCGGAAGAGGCGAGUGGAAUUCCUGGUGUAGCGGUGAAAUGCGCAGAUAUCAGGAAGAACACCAGUGGCGAAGGCGGCUACCUGGACAGGUACUGACGCUGAAGCGCGAAAGCUAGGGGAGCAAACAGG
Molecule: ribosomal RNA, 253 nt
Filed under: uncultured bacterium
Lineage: Bacteria
Description: partial 16S ribosomal RNA
Rfam family: Bacterial small subunit ribosomal RNA
Source: RNAcentral